UUCUUAAGGUAUUUCAUAAUUCUUUAAAGGUGAGUGUGCACUUUUUUCGAUAAGUUACUUUCUUCUAUCACAGCUGUAAGUAUGCAGACAACUGUAAUGAUGACGUUUGUUUGCAUCCCCCUGAAAGACUGUGGCUCUGGGCUGCUGUCAGAACAUUGCUCUGUUUGUUUGAGCAUUUGACCAGCCCAGUACAACAUCGUUGGCCUAACCAAUGGUAUGAGAUUGGGGCGGAGCUAUCAGUUUAUCCAACCACUUGGAAGACUGGGGGAGUGUUUUACCAGUCAUUAUUUAUGCAGUUAAAUUUGAUUAUUUUAUUCACAGAAAUUACACGCUUCAACUCUCUGAUAAAGCUUUUGGAAAAUUCAGAGCUAUGACAUUGUCGGAAAUUUCAAUAAAACCAUGCACAGAUAUUAAACAUUAUUUCUGCACAUUA
Sinocyclocheilus anshuiensis is the source of this 433-nucleotide long non-coding RNA. RefSeq lists it as uncharacterized. The transcript is spliced from 2 exons. Lineage: Eukaryota; Metazoa; Chordata; Actinopteri; Cypriniformes; Cyprinidae. The record is from RefSeq and is a predicted model, not a curated record.